Molecule: non-coding RNA, 2318 nt
Organism: Heterocephalus glaber (naked mole-rat)
Lineage: Eukaryota; Metazoa; Chordata; Mammalia; Rodentia; Bathyergidae
Source: RefSeq, a predicted model, not a curated record
UGUGACGCUUGCAGGCUCCGCCUGCCCCUGCGCUCCUAGCCACGGACUUGGACCUGGGGCCACCUUCAGUCUCAGCGGAGAGCACCUCCAAGUCCUGCUGGUCCCCUCCAGUCCCCAUGCAGCAGAGUGGAGAGCAAACGGUGCCGCACGCCAAGCACCAGCCACCUGCCCCGGGACGCCGCGACAUCUUUAGCAGACCCCCACUUUCCCUCGCCAAAACACCUUUCCCAGAGGUUUUUUUUUUUUUUUUUGGUAUCGAGGAUAGAACUCGGGACCUUGUGCUUGCCAGGCAGGCGCCGGGACCACUGAGCUAAAUCCCCGGCCCUCCCAGAGAUUCUUUAAGCGCAGGGGAAGCCCGGGCAGGAAGCUUGUGCCUACCCCUGAAUGCCGAGACUGAAAUUCCCUCCUGGAGGGGCGCACAGCGCAGUCAGCCAAGGACCAAUUCCUAGCGCGGGGCGGGGCCUCGCGUUUCUCCAGUAACUUCGGCGCCGCGGCAGUGCCAGUCGGAAGUGACUCAGGGGAGGGAAUCCGGCCCCUCUGUGGAAAGCUCACGCGCAAGAGGUCAGGAGGCCACCCCGGGGGCAGGUGAACAGCUUCCCCCACACCAGCUGCCAAAGACAGGGCGUCGAGUCCGUGGCCAGCGUCCCCACCCGAAUCUGGGUACAGCAAAAUCUGACCGUUCGACAUUCCUUGUCUGCCUUAGGAGUGGUUCCUUAAAAAGCAAAGUAAAACAAAAACACCCCAUAACCUCACCUCGCAGGCCCUGGAAGCAUUCACACUUUCUUCAGGGUAUCCACAGGCUGUCCAGCUCCCUGAUGGACUUGGGAGAGGUAAAGGAAGCAGAAGUUCCUGUCCUAAACGGCCCUCUGUGUUUCCCUCCCUGACCUCUACCGGGACUAACAGUGUAGCCAGAUGGAGAAGGCUCAUUCAUGCUCAGCAAAGAAACUGUGAAAAUCGGGCCCGGGAUUUAGCUCAGUGGUUUCGCCGCUUGCUGCAUAAGCGAGGACCCGAGUUCGAUCUCCGGUACCAAAAGAAAAUGAGAAAAGAUGCCUACCCCUGACCCACAAAGAACUCACAAAAUGAGUGAGGAAAAGAUAAACCAAUACUGUAGAAAAGCCAUGGACAAGCGACAUGGCAAGGCACUGUGUGGAGGACAUGACCAAUAAACACCUAACAAGAGGCCCAGCAGCAUUAGAAAUCCUGGAAAUGAAAAUCCAGCUACAUUUUAAACCAUGACACAAUACUGCUUUGCAGAUUAACAAAAAAGAAGAAAAGAUUUAAAAUUUGUAAAUGUUGGGGUUGGGUAUUUAGCUCAGUGGUACAGGGCUCGCCUAGCAAGUGUGAGGCCCUGGGUUCAGUCCUCAGCACCAAAACAUUUUUAAAAAAAAAUUUGUAAAUAUCGCCAGGUGGAGGUUUGCACCUAUAGUGUCAGCAACUCAGAAGGCCAAGGCAUGAAGAUCACUUGAGUCUAGGAGUUCAAGACCAACCCGGGGACCCCCUGCUUUUCUUUUAAAAAAUCAAGUGUUGAUAAUGACUAACAUUUGAGACAUUGCUGUUGGGUUUGCAAAUCAGUGUAAUUGAUACAAGCAACAGGGAUCUCCUGUGCUGAAGCUGACCCUCUCCUAGACAGGCCCCAGGAAAACUUACUCUCAGGGACCACGCAAUGCUGUCAUUGGCAAAAGUCUGGAAACAGCCCCUAUAUUCAUGAAAAGUAGACUAGCUUUAAAGUUUUUGGUAGCUGGGCAUAGUGGUGCAUGCCUACAGUCUCAGCUGCUCAGGAGGCUGAGGCAGGAGGAGCCUAGGAGUUUGAGACUAGCCUGGGCAACACAGCAAGACCUUGUCUCCAAAAGGAAAAAAAAAAGAGAGAGAAGGAAAUAUUAUUGGUAGAUCAUACAAUGGAAAAUUUAUAGCAUUGAAGUGAGUGAAAAAGCAAAUCCUUUGACACAUACCUGCAGUCCCAGCACUGGGGAGGUUGAAGCAGUGAGGAGGAGAUGGGGCAAAAGGCACCUGGCUGGACAAGUGGGUGUGACCUGUCAGGCAUGAGGACACAUGCGCAGAAGAGUUCCCAAGCCCUGCAUCCACGACCAAUCAGAAAGUGCUGAUUAGAUCUGGUGGAAAUCAAGCAGGUUUUCGAUAGGAUGCCUAGAUCCGGUGAGCCUGAGGAGGGGGGGAUGCAAGACAGUGGCCAUGGCUGCUGUGAGGUCUUUUCUGGUCCUGUCUUACUGCAGUGUGCCUCUUUUCCUGCCUUUACUUGGCUCACACUCUGCAGAGCCUAUUUCUUUUCCUACCUUUAAUAAAUGUAAAACCUUGCUACCUUU